This 330-nucleotide unclassified non-coding RNA is filed under the name uncultured Tremellaceae. Its description in RNAcentral is "sequence contains ITS1". The stretch from base 1 to 105 matches the Rfam family "5.8S ribosomal RNA", at positions 50 to 154 of the family's 154-position model. Lineage: Eukaryota; Fungi; Basidiomycota; Tremellomycetes; Tremellales; Tremellaceae. The record is from RNAcentral.
UGAAUGCGAUAAGUAAUGUGAAUUGCAGAAUUCAGUGAAUCAGCGAAUCUUUGUACGCACCUUACGCCUUUUGGUAUUCCGAAAGGCACGCCUGUUUGAGAGUCAUGAAAUCACAAUCCCCCCGGGUUUUCUGAACCCGAGGUGGACUUGGACAUGGGUGUCUGCCGUCUCGUACGGCUCGCCUUAAAUGACUCAGUGGGAUCUUCAGCAUCCGUGGCAGACGUAAUAAGUUUCGUCUUGUCCCUUGCUGUUAGGACCGCUCAUAACCUUACAUCGCGCACCACUUUUGACUCUGACCUCAAAUCAGGUAGGACUACCCGCUGAACUUAA